This 389-nucleotide RNase P RNA is filed under the name Sphaerisporangium krabiense. RNAcentral's name for it is "Bacterial RNase P class A". It matches the Rfam family "Bacterial RNase P class A". From Rfam's summary of the family: Ribonuclease P (RNase P) is a ubiquitous endoribonuclease, found in archaea, bacteria and eukarya as well as chloroplasts and mitochondria. Its best characterised activity is the generation of mature 5'-ends of tRNAs by cleaving the 5'-leader elements of precursor-tRNAs. Lineage: Bacteria; Bacillati; Actinomycetota; Actinomycetes; Streptosporangiales; Streptosporangiaceae. The record is from Rfam by way of RNAcentral.
CGAGUCGGCCGGGCGACCGCGUCAGGGCUUACGCCCUGCCGAGGAAGGUCCGGGCUCCACAGGGCAGGGUGGUCGGUAACGCCGACCCGGGGUGACCCGCGGGACAGUGCCACAGAAAACAGACCGCCUCCCCUCGCGGGAGGUAAGGGUGAAACGGUGGUGUAAGAGACCACCAGCGCCCACGGUGACGUGGGCGGCUCGGUAAACCCCACCCGGAGCAAGGUCAAGAAGGGACCCUCCCCGGAGGGCCCCGCGCGCGGCGUUCGAGGGUGACCCGCCCAAGCCGCGCGGGUAGACCGCUUGAGGCCGCCGGCAACGACGGCCCUAGAUGGAUGGUCGCCCCUUUGCACCGCAAAGGACAGAACCCGGCCUACAGGCCGACUCGCCCG